AGGGGUGGAAGAGGUCAGAGAGGUGGAAGAGGAGAUAAUGCAGGUCCAAGUACUGGAGUUGGCAGCAGAGGAAGGAGAGGGAGAGGAGGCAGAGAUGCAGAGGAAGAGAACAGAGUUCAGAUGAUCCAAAUUGACCGAAGGGUCCGGACAGACGGCAUGAGUGAAGUGAGGCUACGAGCACUAGCAACCCAGGUCUUCUCCCGGAAUCCUGGAUUAGUUUUUGAUGCACUUCCUCCAUUGGACAGCACAACCCCACCUAACGCUGCUCUUCCAUGGUGCACCUUUGGGAACUGCAGGGAAAUGGCCACAGACGCUGAAAGGGACUACUGCAUCAGCAAAUUGGCACAUUUUGAUCUGUAUUGUCUGGAAGAUGGUUAUUUGCGUAUUCACAGAGAUUACAGAGAUGAUAAGUUGGCGGUAGCUGAAGUUAUAGAGCCAGGAGAUGAUAACAGACAAUUUAGGUAUGCUGCUUAUCGUCAAUACAUCUUUUGGCAGCAUCGGUCACUGGGUCUGGGUAACCGUCGUGUUAUUCCCAGCCUCUGUAUAUGGAAAAUAAGGGACAAAUACCCUGACCCCCAAGGCCAGUACACUGGCUUUGUACCCACCAUUUGAUACCAUUCUAACGUGAACAGUUAAAUUCAAGUUAUUUAUUGUUGUAUAUAUGGUUUAACAAAUUGUUUUUUGAUUUGAUCUGUUUUUUGGUUUGUUUGUUUGUAAAAAGCCUUCCUCAUUUUUUCAAUAAAAAAAGUUUAUUUAGAAUAACAAUACUAUGCUUUUUACAAUGAAGAGAAACAGUAUAUAAAACGGUAUAAUGAUAAAUGUUACACAGUAUAAAUAGAAAACUAGACUCUGUACUGUUUAAACUUUUAGACUGAAAUUUUUGAUAAGCAGCUUGUGACACAAAAGUUUACAUGGCCAUGAAGAUGGUCAGGGUUGUGAGGCUCUGGAAACUGGGCUUCACAGGUCUUUAGUCUGGAAUGUUGACACUGAGGAGAGCAAAAUAAAACCUGAAGUUAGUUUAUUUCAAA
Molecule: long non-coding RNA, 1028 nt
Organism: Carassius gibelio (silver crucian carp)
Lineage: Eukaryota; Metazoa; Chordata; Actinopteri; Cypriniformes; Cyprinidae
Exons: 2
Source: RefSeq, a predicted model, not a curated record